RNAcentral lists this unclassified non-coding RNA (343 nucleotides) under soil metagenome. RNAcentral's name for it is "partial contains 5.8S ribosomal RNA, internal transcribed spacer 2, and large subunit ribosomal RNA". The stretch from base 1 to 120 matches the Rfam family "5.8S ribosomal RNA", at positions 35 to 154 of the family's 154-position model. The record is from RNAcentral.
GAUGAAGAACGCAGCGAAAUGCGAUAAGUAGUGUGAAUUGCAGAAUUCAGUGAAUCAUCGAAUCUUUGAACGCACAUUGCGCCCGCCAGUAUUCUGGCGGGCAUGCCUGUUCGAGCGUCAUUUCAACCCUCAAGCCCCCGGGCUUGGUGUUGGGGAUCGGCGUGCCCUCGCGGCGCGCCGUCCCCUAAAUCUAGUGGCGGUCUCGCUGUAGCUUCCUCUGCGUAGUAGCAACACUCGCACUGGAUCGCAGCGCGGCCACGCCGUUAAACCCCCCACUUCUGAAAGUUUGACCUCGGAUCAGGUAGGAAUACCCGCUGAACUUAAGCAUAUCAAUAAGGGAGGA